This 346-nucleotide RNase P RNA is filed under the name Fusobacteriaceae bacterium. RNAcentral's name for it is "RNase P RNA component class A". It matches the Rfam family "Bacterial RNase P class A". From Rfam's summary of the family: Ribonuclease P (RNase P) is a ubiquitous endoribonuclease, found in archaea, bacteria and eukarya as well as chloroplasts and mitochondria. Its best characterised activity is the generation of mature 5'-ends of tRNAs by cleaving the 5'-leader elements of precursor-tRNAs. The record is from RNAcentral. Lineage: Bacteria; Fusobacteriati; Fusobacteriota; Fusobacteriia; Fusobacteriales; Fusobacteriaceae.
AUAGGUAUUAGAACUAAUUGCUGUUUACUUAAAUGUAAAGAGAGGAAAGUCCGGGCUCCACAGAGCAAAGAGGGCAGUUAACGGCUGCUAGAGGUAACUCUAAGGAAAGUGCCACAGAAAAUAGACCGCCUUUUUUAAGGUAAGGGUGAAAAGGUGGUGUAAGAGACCACCAGUUUUUUAAGAGAUUAAAAAAGCUUGGUAAACCCCCUCUGGAGCAAGACAAAGUAGGAAAGGUUAAGGGCUGCUCGUCCAGCUUUCAGGGUAAGUCGCUAGAGUCUAUAAGCAAUUAUAGAAUUAGAAAAAUAAUUAGUAAAAACAGAACCCGGCUUAUUUAAUGCCUAUUUUA